RNAcentral lists this ribosomal RNA (493 nucleotides) under uncultured bacterium. Its description in RNAcentral is "bacterial SSU rRNA". It matches the Rfam family "Bacterial small subunit ribosomal RNA", at positions 28 to 526 of the family's 1533-position model. The record is from RNAcentral.
GACGAACGCUGGCGGCGUGCCUAACACAUGCAAGUCGAGCGGAGGUAACCGAGUAGUUUACUACAUGGUUACUCUUAGCGGCGGACGGGUGAGUAACGCGUGAGCAACCUGUCCCUUACAGGGGGAUAACGCAGCGAAAGUUGUGCUAAUACCGCAUAAGACCACGGUGGGGACAUCCCACAGGGGUCAAAGGAGCAAUCCGGUAAGGGGUGGGCUCGCGUCUGAUUAGCUAGUUGGUGGGGUAACGGCCCACCAAGGCAACGAUCAGUAGCCGACCUGAGAGGGUGAACGGCCACACUGGAACUGAGACACGGUCCAGACUCCUACGGGAGGCAGCAGUGGGGAAUAUUGGGCAAUGGGCGAAAGCCUGACCCAGCAACGCCGCGUGAAGGAAGAAGGUUUUCGGAUCGUAAACUUCUAUCCCGGGUGAAGAUAAUGACGGUAGCCCGGAAGGAAGCCCCGGCUAACUACGUGCCAGCCGCCGCAGUAAAAC